This 274-nucleotide ribosomal RNA is filed under the name uncultured bacterium. Its description in RNAcentral is "partial 16S ribosomal RNA". It matches the Rfam family "Bacterial small subunit ribosomal RNA", at positions 523 to 796 of the family's 1533-position model. The record is from RNAcentral.
AGACGGAGGGUCCUAGCGUUGUUCGGAAUAACUGGGCGUAAAGCGCACGUAGGCGGAUUGGAAAGUUGGGGGUGAAAUCCCAGGGCUCAACCCUGGAACUGCCUCCAAAACUAACAGUCUAGAGUUCGAGAGAGGUGAGUGGAAUUCCAAGUGUAGAGGUGAAAUUCGUAGAUAUUUGGAGGAACACCAGUGGCGAAGGCGGCUCACUGGCUCGAUACUGACGCUGAGGUGCGAAAGCGUGGGGAGCAAACAGGAUUAGAUACCCUAGUAGUCC